CACACAUAAAGGACAAAUAAGCUCAAGAGGAGGAUCUAGAUGCUUUCAGUUUUAACUAUUCACCAAUAGUGGAAAAGGCAGAAUGUCUAAGCUAUGGCUUGGUGACCAAUAGGGUAGCUGUGUAUCUCUCACAUGACUCACUGCCCCUGUCUUUCACAUGGGCUGUAAUUUAGUUCAAUUCAGAACUGCAGAUAGUACGGCUUCCACAGGAGCAAGGGAUGCCUGAGCAGAAGUGGCUGAGUUCCUAGUGACUUUACGAAGGACUUCUCCGCCUUCCUGCGGCACGAAAACAGGGAUUCUGCACCUGCACUGGGGACGGGCUGGUAAAAGCCUCUGCUCUGCCUCCGGGGACCAGGAACUACAGCAAAUAACCAUGUUGAAAUUGCGGUGGUGCUGGGCUCAGGCAGAGCCUUGAGACGCUCGGGCCUUUGACUCUCCUGAGACUCUGACUGUGGCUGUUUCCACACUCCUUCCACAGGACCUGCCUGCAGAGCGGCGCCCCCCUCUAGUCAGUUGAUGCCUCCGCCCCCUUUGCUGUGCUCUCAGCCAUUUCUGCUUAGUUAGGACUUUGCUUCAUCCUUAAAUUGUGUGUGCAGCUUGGGGUUGACACGCAGAGCCAGUGUGUCUCGGUGGUUGUUUUCUAAUUUUAUAUUUUUAAUAGUAAAGGAAGUAGAGUUAACAGGACAGACGUGACAAUAAAUAGAGGCAGAUGCAGAUGUCUGGCAUUAUGAAAAUCGGCAGUGUUGCAAUAGUAAGAUUGCUUUGAAUUUGGGCAGCUCUUACUUGUAACUCCUAAAGCGAGCUCUCUUUAGUGUGGAAGGUUUUUCUCUCUCUCUCUCUCAACUCAUCACUGAAGGUGGACUCUCAGUUCAUUCUUGCGGUUCUUACUUGAUUUGGUAUAUUUCCUGUAGGGAAGUCACUGUUUUAAUUUAAAGGGACUAACUUCUCUUUCAGCAAACGUUGGAGUAGAGAAACAAAGCACCAGUAUGAAAAAAGAAGAUUAUGUCAGUAAAAAUGUGAGGGUAUAAAGUGUACUAGAUAAUCUGAAAUUAGAAGAAUAUGUCAAAAGUUUGGUCUAGACAUUUUUAUCAUCGAAAUGAAUUAUCUAAAAGCUCAAAUGUAAUCCCUGUGUGAUUAAAAAACACAGAAAUAAAAUUUCCUGUUAAGAUUUUUAAGUAUUUAUUUAAGUCUAUUGCUGUAGAAACAUUUAUAAAAGAGACAUAUUUCAGUGAUUUGUGUAAUUGCUUGAUUGCCUUGUUACUGUUAGUCAUGUACCAGGAUAUUAUUCAGAAUAUACUGGAAGAAAAUGAAACACUCAAUCACUAUGCUGGUUAUUGUGAGCCACUUGAAAAAGUGCCUCUUGUCUGGGAAAGAGUUAACAAUUUAAUCUAAAAACAGUGAGAAGGGAUAAAUUCAUUCUUUGGAAAGGCUGAGGACAGAAAGGGGUUAAUUUUUAAAUCUUUGUGAAGGGAGGGGAGGACCCUGGAAGAUAGAAACCAAACUAAAGACUAAGCUGCUAGUGAUUUGGUUGUAUUUAUGGAUUAUACUACAUGUUGAAAAGAGGAAAAUCAGAGCUGUAAGAUGACGCUGCAGGGGUCGUCUGGACUUUUCACUGAGUCUAAAGUCUGUUUAGUCAAUGCUUAUUAAGGCCUGGUUUUGACCUUUGCCCUCCGCAAUCUUCCUUGUUCCAGGUGCAACAUUUUUGAAAGUGCUUUACCAUUUUUGGACAUUAUGUGCAAGCAUGUAUGUUGGGCAUAAAAAUAAUCCACAGUAGUUAUGAUACCCACAUCUUUACACAGCUGUGUAAUCUUACACCCACUUCCUUCGCAAAUAAUGAGCAGUGGCUAUGUUCUUCUUUAAGAUAAAACCAGGGAUAUUCAAGCAUCUCAUACAUCUAAAACAGAUUUAUU
Long non-coding RNA from Heterocephalus glaber (naked mole-rat), 1910 nucleotides. Lineage: Eukaryota; Metazoa; Chordata; Mammalia; Rodentia; Bathyergidae. The record is from Ensembl.